UUAAGUUAUUAAGGGCGCACGGUGGAUGCCUUGGCACUAGAAGCCGAUGAAGGACGUUACUAACGACGAUAUGCUUUGGGGAGCUGUAAGUAAGCUUUGAUCCAGAGAUUUCCGAAUGGGGAAACCCAGCAUGAGUUAUGUCAUGUUAUCGAUAUGUGAAUACAUAGCAUAUCAGAAGGCACACCCGGAGAACUGAAACAUCUUAGUACCCGGAGGAAGAGAAAGAAAAUUCGAUUCCCUUAGUAGCGGCGAGCGAAACGGGAAGAGCCCAAACCAACAAGCUUGCUUGUUGGGGUUGUAGGACACUCUAUACGGAGUUACAAAGGACGACAUUAGACGAAUCAUCUGGAAAGAUGAAUCAAAGAAGGUAAUAAUCCUGUAGUCGAAAAUGUUGUCUCUCUUGAGUGGAUCCUGAGUACGACGGAGCACGUGAAAUUCCGUCGGAAUCUGGGAGGACCAUCUCCUAAGGCUAAAUACUCUCUAGUGACCGAUAGUGAACCAGUACCGUGAGGGAAAGGUGAAAAGCACCCCGGAAGGGGAGUGAAAUAGAACCUGAAACCGUGUGCUUACAAGUAGUCAGAGCCCGUUAAUGGGUGAUGGCGUGCCUUUUGUAGAAUGAACCGGCGAGUUACGAUUUGAUGCAAGGUUAAGCAGUAAAUGUGGAGCCGUAGCGAAAGCGAGUCUGAAUAGGGCGUUUAGUAUUUGGUCGUAGACCCGAAACCAGGUGAUCUACCCUUGGUCAGGUUGAAGUUCAGGUAACACUGAAUGGAGGACCGAACCGACUUACGUUGAAAAGUGAGCGGAUGAACUGAGGGUAGCGGAGAAAUUCCAAUCGAACCUGGAGAUAGCUGGUUCUCUCCGAAAUAGCUUUAGGGCUAGCCUCAAGUGAUGAUUAUUGGAGGUAGAGCACUGUUUGGACGAGGGGCCCCUCUCGGGUUACCGAAUUCAGACAAACUCCGAAUGCCAAUUAAUUUAACUUGGGAGUCAGAACAUGGGUGAUAAGGUCCGUGUUCGAAAGGGAAACAGCCCAGACCACCAGCUAAGGUCCCAAAAUAUAUGUUAAGUGGAAAAGGAUGUGGCGUUGCCCAGACAACUAGGAUGUUGGCUUAGAAGCAGCCAUCAUUUAAAGAGUGCGUAAUAGCUCACUAGUCGAGUGACACUGCGCCGAAAAUGUACCGGGGCUAAACAUAUUACCGAAGCUGUGGAUUGUCCUUUGGACAAUGGUAGGAGAGCGUUCUAAGGGCGUUGAAGCAUGAUCGUAAGGACAUGUGGAGCGCUUAGAAGUGAGAAUGCCGGUGUGAGUAGCGAAAGACGGGUGAGAAUCCCGUCCACCGAUUGACUAAGGUUUCCAGAGGAAGGCUCGUCCGCUCUGGGUUAGUCGGGUCCUAAGCUGAGGCCGACAGGCGUAGGCGAUGGAUAACAGGUUGAUAUUCCUGUACCACCUAUAAUCGUUUUAAUCGAUGGGGGGACGCAGUAGGAUAGGCGAAGCGUGCGAUUGGAUUGCACGUCUAAGCAGUAAGGCUGAGUAUUAGGCAAAUCCGGUACUCGUUAAGGCUGAGCUGUGAUGGGGAGAAGACAUUGAGUCUUCGAGUCGUUGAUUUCACACUGCCGAGAAAAGCCUCUAGAUAGAAAAUAGGUGCCCGUACCGCAAACCGACACAGGUAGUCAAGAUGAGAAUUCUAAGGUGAGCGAGCGAACUCUCGUUAAGGAACUCGGCAAAAUGACCCCGUAACUUCGGGAGAAGGGGUGCUCUUUAGGGUUAACGCCCAGAAGAGCCGCAGUGAAUAGGCCCAAGCGACUGUUUAUCAAAAACACAGGUCUCUGCUAAACCGUAAGGUGAUGUAUAGGGGCUGACGCCUGCCCGGUGCUGGAAGGUUAAGAGGAGUGGUUAGCUUCUGCGAAGCUACGAAUCGAAGCCCCAGUAAACGGCGGCCGUAACUAUAACGGUCCUAAGGUAGCGAAAUUCCUUGUCGGGUAAGUUCCGACCCGCACGAAAGGCGUAACGAUUUGGGCACUGUCUCAACGAGAGACUCGGUGAAAUCAUAGUACCUGUGAAGAUGCAGGUUACCCGCGACAGGACGGAAAGACCCCGUGGAGCUUUACUGUAGCCUGAUAUUGAAAUUCGGCACAGCUUGUACAGGAUAGGUAGGAGCCUUUGAAACGUGAGCGCUAGCUUACGUGGAGGCGCUGGUGGGAUACUACCCUAGCUGUGUUGGCUUUCUAACCCGCACCACUUAUCGUGGUGGGAGACAGUGUCAAGCGGGCAGUUUGACUGGGGCGGUCGCCUCCUAAAAGGUAACGGAGGCGCUCAAAGGUUCCCUCAGAAUGGUUGGAAAUCAUUCAUAGAGUGUAAAGGCAUAAGGGAGCUUGACUGCGAGACCUACAAGUCGAGCAGGGUCGAAAGACGGACUUAGUGAUCCGGUGGUUCCGCAUGGAAGGGCCAUCGCUCAACGGAUAAAAGCUACCCCGGGGAUAACAGGCUUAUCUCCCCCAAGAGUUCACAUCGACGGGGAGGUUUGGCACCUCGAUGUCGGCUCAUCGCAUCCUGGGGCUGUAGUCGGUCCCAAGGGUUGGGCUGUUCGCCCAUUAAAGCGGUACGCGAGCUGGGUUCAGAACGUCGUGAGACAGUUCGGUCCCUAUCCGUCGUGGGCGUAGGAAAUUUGAGAGGAGCUGUCCUUAGUACGAGAGGACCGGGAUGUACAUACCUCUGGUGUACCAGUUGUCGUGCCAACGGCAUAGCUGGGUAGCUAUGUGUGGACGGGAUAAGUGCUGAAAGCAUCUAAGCAUGAAGCCCCCCUCAAGAUGAGAUUUCCCAACUUCGGUUAUAAGAUCCCUCAAAGAUGAUGAGGUUAAUAGGUUCGAGGUGGAAGCAUGGUGACAUGUGGAGCUGACGAAUACUAAUCGAUCGAAGACUUAAUCAA
This 2921-nucleotide ribosomal RNA is filed under the name Staphylococcus aureus W39821. RNAcentral describes it as "bacterial LSU rRNA". It matches the Rfam family "Bacterial large subunit ribosomal RNA". The record is from RNAcentral. Lineage: Bacteria; Bacillati; Bacillota; Bacilli; Caryophanales; Staphylococcaceae.